Long non-coding RNA from Aedes aegypti (yellow fever mosquito), 1522 nucleotides. RefSeq lists it as uncharacterized. The transcript has 7 exons. The record is from RefSeq and is a predicted model, not a curated record. Lineage: Eukaryota; Metazoa; Arthropoda; Insecta; Diptera; Culicidae.
AAUACAUAAUUAAAAGACUUAGUUUAAGUUUCAUCCAUUUCUUUCGCUCUCUUCUAAUAAAAAAAUAGGUACCCGUAAAGUAAAACAAUUGGUACUUCAGUUCUUAAUUUUUUGAUAUAAGAUUAAAUUGAAAUCAUUAAUUGAAACACAGGAGUAGUCUAUAUUUACAUAAAUUCUACUUGUGGAGACAAUUGCAUAACAUUCUGAGAAACCUUUAAGGUAAUAAAAAACAAUUCUCAUUUUUAAUUGUAUUUUAGAAGGAACGAGCAGCAAAAUACCAAUUGCUAUGGCAAGUAUUGUGCCACCUGGCAUAACCAUAAAAAAGGAGACAGAAAGCACAAGAAGUAUUCCUCCAAUUCAAAUUCCUCCACAAAUGAAUUCUACCUCCAUCAACUCAGAUUUCGAAGGACAAACAUCCCCGCCAUCUAAAAUUCCACGACUGGCAACAUUACUACACUCUAUCGCCCCACUAACUCCACGGCCGGUAACGGUAACCACCAUAGCAGGACAAAUCUCACCACCAACCAAUAUUUCACGACCAGUAACUUCUAAUCACAUCGCUCUACCGAAAACAACUCCGUGGCCGGUGCCAUUGGUGAACACAGAUGACCAUGAUGUUGAAGACCUGACGGCCUUAAUGAUUAAAAUGAGCGUGAUCGAAAAAAAAAAUUGACAAAAACAAUGAGGCGACGACAAGAAAAUUGGAUGCCCUAAACACAAAAAUGGCUUCACUCCAAAGAAUAAUGGGCACAAUGUCCGAUGCCAUUGAUGCCAUCAGACAAUCAUCCAUCAAUGAAGUAAGAGAAGAGACAGCUAUACAUUUCCCAAUCAAAAAUGACGAGGAAUUGAAAAAUUUGGAAGUCUUACUAGUAGAAGAACAAUUUGAAAAAGCGUUUCGCUCGAAAUUAAAAAAAGAAAAAACAAAAGAUGCUUAUCAUUUUAUGCGAAACGCUGUUGGACAAAUUUUUUACAAAACUACAAGACAUACUUGGAGCGGACGCGUGGGCCACAAUAGUGGCCACGAGGAGGAUGCUUACAAGGCCUCUAAUCUGAACGUUGUGCGCAUUUUGCUUGAUGUUGCAAUGGAAAUUUUCCCUAUCACCCGAGACACCGCGAUCCAGGAAUUUAAAAAGGCACUUCAGAACAAAAAUGCCGCGGUUCAUAUGAACAAGGUUCGCGAUGCCAAAUUUGUCCAUGAAUAAAUAACGAGGGAAAACUACUGAACAAAUCAGUUAUGUGUAAAUGAGAUUAAAAGAGAAAUAUUUGUUGAGGACCAUCCAUAAACCACGUUGAUUUAUUUGUUAAUUUUUUAAACUUUCUAUGGACAAUGGCCGUAUUCCACUUAUUUCAGGCGGAAUAAAUUAAAUAGAAUGUCGAACUUGAACUCUAAUUUUCUAAAAUUCAUUUUUUUUUAUUAUUUUCGGUGUUUUCACAUGUUGGGGUUUAUGAAAUGUCAAACGCAAAAGUGAUCCAUAAUUGUUAAGAGACAAUAAAAUAAUUUCAUAAGCGAUGGACAAAACGA